GAUGAAGAACGCAGUGAAAUGCGAUAAGUAAUGUGAAUUGCAGAAUUCAGUGAAUCAUCGAAUCUUUGAACGCACAUUGCGCCCGCUAGUAUUCUGGCGGGCAUGCCUGUUCGAGCGUCAUUUCAACCCUCAAGCCCCCGGGCUUGGUGUUGGGGAUCGGCGAGCCUCCGCGCCCGCCGUCCCCUAAAUCUAGUGGCGGUCUCGCUGUAGCUUCCUCUGCGUAGUAGCACACCUCGCACUGGGAAACAGCGCGGCCACGCCGUUAAACCCCCAACUUCUGAACGUUUGACCUCGGAUCAGGUAGGAAUACCCGCUGAACUUAAGCAUAUCAAUAAGCGGAGGA
Molecule: unclassified non-coding RNA, 343 nt
Filed under: soil metagenome
Description: partial contains 5.8S ribosomal RNA, internal transcribed spacer 2, and large subunit ribosomal RNA
Rfam family: 5.8S ribosomal RNA (bases 1-120)
Source: RNAcentral